This 468-nucleotide ribosomal RNA is filed under the name uncultured bacterium. RNAcentral describes it as "partial 16S ribosomal RNA". It matches the Rfam family "Bacterial small subunit ribosomal RNA", at positions 28 to 507 of the family's 1533-position model. The record is from RNAcentral.
GACGAACGCUGGCGGCGUGCUUAACACAUGCAAGUCGAACGGAAAGGCCCUGCUUUUGUGGGGUGCUCGAGUGGCGAACGGGUGAGUAACACGUGAGUAACCUGCCCUUGACUUUGGGAUAACUUCAGGAAACUGGGGCUAAUACCGGAUAGGAGCUCCUGCUGCAUGGUGGGGGUUGGAAAGUUUCGGCGGUUGGGGAUGGACUGGCGGCUUAUCGGCUUGUUGGUGGGGUAGUGGCUUACCAAGGCUUUGCAGGGUAGCCGGCCUGGGAGGGUGACCGGCCACAUUGGGACUGCGGUACGGCCCAGACUGCAACUGGAGGCAGCAGUGGGGAAUAUGGCACAAUGGGCGGAAGCCUGAUGCAGCAACGCCGCGUGCGGGAUGACGGCCUGCGGGUUGUAAACCGCUUUCGCCUGUGACGAAGCGUGAGUGACGGUAAUGGGUAAAGAAGCACCGGCUAACUACGUG